UAAAAAAAGGCGAUUGAACCACAGUAGCAAAGCAAAGGGUCUCUUGUUAGACGAAGCGAGGAGCCUUUGCCAUUGGAAUCCUAACACUAGAGUUUCACUUGGGAACUAACUCACAAAAAGAAAGGCAAAAAUCCUAAGAUUUGCAAGCGCUUAUGUUCUGGGAAAAUCCUAAGGUUUGGGUUUGAAUGAAAUUGACUUCUCUCUGCUCUCUCUAUCUUCGAUCAACAUUGGCUAUAUCACCACCAACCCAAAUCAGUAACUCCCACUCUUUUCACAGAUUUGACUCAGCUUUGCUCUAUCAGGGCAUACUUCUGAAUGUUCCAUUGAAGAAUUAGCUCAGGCCAUGGUGUGUGCCAUCAUCAAAGCAUUUGAAGAGCAUAUUUAUGAGACUCCAUUCUAAUUUGUAUAGACAAUUUUAUGACGCCGAUUCUAGCAAUUACGAGGAACUUAUAAGAACUCGAUUUGGGCAUUGACUUCCACAAAUAUUAUUGAAAUAUUAUAGCGAUACACGCUUUUCAUGGAUAUGAAGAUUACCUUUUUUUUUUGGAUAUGUAAAUAUUUAUUUGUUUAAUUUUUGUUUCUGAUAUUAUGAUAAUGAUAUUGACUUUGUCAAAAUAGGAACGACAUUUUGAUUUUAUUUUAUUAGUAAAGAAUAAUAGUGGUA
Long non-coding RNA from Camellia sinensis, 664 nucleotides. RefSeq lists it as uncharacterized. The record is from RefSeq and is a predicted model, not a curated record. Lineage: Eukaryota; Viridiplantae; Streptophyta; Magnoliopsida; Ericales; Theaceae.